GCCCAGAGAAAUCUGGUUCACAACAAGAGGCUGCGCCCCCUUAGCUCAGUCGGCAGAGCGUUUCCAUGGUAAG
RNAcentral lists this transfer RNA (73 nucleotides) under Corynebacterium pseudotuberculosis. RNAcentral describes it as "tRNA-Thr". Lineage: Bacteria; Bacillati; Actinomycetota; Actinomycetes; Mycobacteriales; Corynebacteriaceae. The record is from RNAcentral.